GACGAACGCUGGCGGCUUGCCUAAUACAUGCAAGUCGAGCGAGCGGCGGACGGGUGAGUAAUGUAUGGGGAUCUGCCCGAUAGAGGGGGAUAACUACUGGAAACGGUUGCUAAUACCGCAUACUAUCGGAUGUACCCAUAUGGGAUUAGCUUGUAGGUGGGGUAAAGGCUCACCUAGGCGACGAUACCUAGCUGGUCUGAGAGGAUGAUCAGCCACACGGGGACGGAGACACGGCCCAGACUCCUACGGGAGGCAGCAGUGGGGAAUAUUGCACAAUGGGCGCAAGCCGGAUGCAGCCAUGCCGCGUGUAUGAAGAAGGCCUUAGGGUUGUAAAGUACUUUCAGCGGGGAGGCGUUACCCGCAGAAGAAGCACCGGCUAACUCCGUGCCAGCAGCCGCGGUAAUAC
Molecule: ribosomal RNA, 406 nt
Filed under: uncultured bacterium
Lineage: Bacteria
Description: partial 16S ribosomal RNA
Rfam family: Bacterial small subunit ribosomal RNA
Source: RNAcentral